CAGCCAUGGACAGAGGUGUGCUGCUGGUUCUGUUGUGUCUGCAGGCUUUUCUGCUCAUCACAGCCUUCACUUCUACAGAUGCAGCCGCUGUGGUGACAGCUGAUCAACAACAGCAGUCUCCUGAUCAGGUGGAUGGAAUAAGUGUGCAGUACAAAGAAAAAAGAAGACGAAGAAAACGACAAAUGCCCAUCUGUAAACCGAGACCAAGUGAAUGUUGGCCCAAGUACUAUACGGUUUAAAAUACCUGGGAUGUACCAAAGAACAAAACUGAGACUGGAACACUCUUGGAAGCCAGAGAGAUUCCAAGUAUGCAGAGCCCUCAACCGACUGUGGACGUAUAAUUAAACAAUGUAACUGUGCUUGAUAUUUUGAAGAAUAAUAUUACUGUAUGAGUAGAUUGAAAUCACAUCUAUUGUGAAUUAUUGUGUAAGUGAAUAAAAAGUAAACAUAAAGAAAGCUCACCUGUGUACUCAAGCAACAGGAGUUUAAUUUUUAAUCCGUGAUUGAUUGGCUGACCUCGACAGAAACCAUGUUUGGCAAUCCUGCGAUGGCUCCAUUAUUGAUAUGUUUCCAUCUGCGUGACUUUUCCCCUUUUUAUUCGAGUCACUGACCUGAAGAAAAUGGAAGAAGCAAGACAUGAAUCAUAUUCUCU
Long non-coding RNA from Thunnus maccoyii (southern bluefin tuna), 652 nucleotides. RefSeq lists it as uncharacterized. Lineage: Eukaryota; Metazoa; Chordata; Actinopteri; Scombriformes; Scombridae. The record is from RefSeq and is a predicted model, not a curated record. The transcript is spliced from 5 exons.